GACGAACGCUGGCGGCGUGCUUAACACAUGCAAGUCGAACGGAAAGGCCCUGCUUUUGUGGGGUGCUCGAGUGGCGAACGGGUGAGUAACACGUGAGUAGCCUGCCCUUGACUUUGGGAUAACUUCAGGAAACUGGGGCUAAUACCGGAUAGGAGCUCCUGCUGCAUGGUGGGGGUUGGAAAGUUUCGGCGGUUGGGGAUGGACUCGCGGCUUAUCAGCUUGUUGGUGGGGUAGUGGCUUACCAAGGCUUUGACGGGUAGCCGGCCUGAGAGGGUGACCGGCCACAUUGGGACUGAGAUACGGCCCAGACUCCUACGGGAGGCAGCAGUGGGGAAUAUUGCACAAUGGGCGGAAGCCUGAUGCAGCAACGCCGCGUGCGGGAUGACGGCCUUCGGGUUGUAAACCGCUUUCGCCUGUGACGAAGCGUGAGUGACGGUAAUGGGUAAAGAAGCACCGGCUAACUACGU
RNAcentral lists this ribosomal RNA (467 nucleotides) under uncultured bacterium. RNAcentral describes it as "partial 16S ribosomal RNA". It matches the Rfam family "Bacterial small subunit ribosomal RNA", at positions 28 to 506 of the family's 1533-position model. The record is from RNAcentral.